Molecule: non-coding RNA, 536 nt
Organism: Meleagris gallopavo (turkey)
Lineage: Eukaryota; Metazoa; Chordata; Aves; Galliformes; Phasianidae
Source: RefSeq, a predicted model, not a curated record
ACCAGGAUUUUUUUUCUUCUUCAGGGAAACUGUAUCAAUCUGACCGAUGCCUUGACUCUGUAUGAAGAACAGCUUAGUAGGCUUUAUUGUCCUGUGGAGUUUUCAAAAGAAAUCGUGUGCGUUCCCUCCUACAUGGAAUUGUGGGUGUUCUACACUAUUUGGAAGAAACAAACUGAAGUCUGAACAUCAAGAUUAUUCUAAAUGUACAUGCUACAUGAAGCAUAUAGGCCUGCCACAUGGUGCAUAUUGGCAUCUGGAACCCUUAAAUUAUAUGCUGUAGAUGAUCCUGAUACUUAGUCAUGCUAUUGAUUGUGAAUUCUUUUAAAUGUUUUUUUUAUUGUUAUUUUAAUUUAAAAGCAAAUGAAAAAUGUAUAUUUUGAUGAGCUAGGAUGUUAUUUUUGAAAGUCAACUUAAAGAUGAGUAAGCAGCAAAACUAUAUAGCUGCUAAAUGCACUGAACCUUUAGAAUGUGAUCCUUUUUAGUUUUUGUAGAUCUUCACAAAGGUAUUGAUUAAAGAAGACAUCUUGAGCAUUUCA